Molecule: ribosomal RNA, 443 nt
Filed under: uncultured bacterium
Lineage: Bacteria
Description: partial 16S ribosomal RNA
Rfam family: Bacterial small subunit ribosomal RNA
Source: RNAcentral
CCUACGGGGUGCUGCAGUGGGGAAUAUUGGGCAAUGGGCGCAAGCCUGACCCAGCAACGCCGCGUGAAGGAAGAAGGCCCUCGGGUUUUAAACUUCUUUUGUCAGGGACGUAGCAAGUGACGGUACCUGACGAAUAAGCCACGGCUAACUACGUGCCAGCAGCCGCGGUAAUACGUAGGUGGCAAGCGUUAUGCGGAUUUACUGGGUGUAAAGGGCGUGUAGGCGGGGAAGCAAGUCAGCUGUGAAAUUCCAGGGCUCAACCCUGGAACUGCAUUUGAAACUGUUUUUCUUGAGUGAUGGAGAGGCAGGCGGAAUUCCGGGUGUAGCGGUGAAAUGCGUAGAUAUAAGGAGGAACACCAGUGGCGAAGGCGGCCUGCUGGACAUUAACUGACGCUGAGGCGCGAAAGCGUGGGGAGCAAACAGGAUUAGAUACCCCUGUAGUC